Molecule: transfer RNA, 65 nt
Filed under: Marmota monax (woodchuck)
Lineage: Eukaryota; Metazoa; Chordata; Mammalia; Rodentia; Sciuridae
Description: tRNA.Ala
Source: RNAcentral
GAUAUAGCUCAGUGGUAGAGCACUUGCCUAGCAUGUACAAGGCCCUGGGUUCUAUCCCCAGCACA